Molecule: small nuclear RNA, 108 nt
Organism: Neomonachus schauinslandi (Hawaiian monk seal)
Lineage: Eukaryota; Metazoa; Chordata; Mammalia; Carnivora; Phocidae
Source: RefSeq, a predicted model, not a curated record
GUGCUCGCUUCGGCAGCACAUACACUAAAAUUGGAACGAUACAGAGAAGAUUAGCAUGGCCCUUGCGCAAGGAUGAUAUAUCUGCCUAAUGGAGUAUUAUGCAGUCAU